GACGAACGCUGGCGGCGUGCUUAACACAUGCAAGUCGAACGGAAAGGCCCUGCUUUUGUGGGGUGCUCGAGUGGCGAACGGGUGAGUAACACGUGAGUAACCUGCCCUUGACUUUGGGAUAACUUCAGGAAACUGGGGCUAAUACCGGAUAGGAGCUCCUGCUGCAUGGUGGGGGUUGGAAAGUUUCGGCGGUUGGGGAUGGACUCGCGGCUUAUCAGCUUGUUGGUGGGGUAGUGGCUUACCAAGGCUUUGACGGGUAGCCGGCCUGAGAGGGUGACCGGCCACAUUGGGAAUGAGGAACGGCCCAGACUCCUUCGGGGGGGCAGCGGGGGGGAAAUUGGACCAUGGGGGGAAGCCUGAUGCAGCAACGCCGCGUGCGGGAUGACGGCCUUCGGGUUGUAAACCGCUUUCGCCUGUGACGAAGCGUGAGUGACGGUAAUGGGUAAAGAAGCACCGGCUAACUACGUG
Molecule: ribosomal RNA, 468 nt
Filed under: uncultured bacterium
Lineage: Bacteria
Description: partial 16S ribosomal RNA
Rfam family: Bacterial small subunit ribosomal RNA
Source: RNAcentral